RNAcentral lists this ribosomal RNA (458 nucleotides) under uncultured bacterium. RNAcentral's name for it is "partial 16S ribosomal RNA". It matches the Rfam family "Bacterial small subunit ribosomal RNA", at positions 28 to 522 of the family's 1533-position model. The record is from RNAcentral.
GAUGAAUGCUGACGGCGUGCUUAACACAUGCAAGUCGAGCGGUAAGGCCCUUCGGGGUACACGAGCGGCGGACGGCUGAGUAACGCGUGGGAACAUGCCCUAAAGUGAGGAAUAACUGCCCGAAAGGGUGGCUAAUGCCGCAUAUGAUCUUCGGAUUAAAGGAUUUAUCCGCUUUAGGAGUGGCCUGCGUACGAUUAGCUUGUUGGUGAGGUAAUGGCUUACCAAGGCGACGAUCGUUAGCUGGUCUGAGAGGAUGACCAGCCAGACUGGAACUGAGACACGGUCCAGACUCCUACGGGAGGCAGCAGUGAGGAAUCUUCCACAAUGGGCGAAAGCCUGAUGGAGCAACGCCGUGUGCAGGAUGAAGGCCCUCGGGUCGUAAGCUGCUUUUAUGAGUGAAGAAUAUGACGGUAACUCAUGAAUAAGCACCGGCUAACUACGUGCCAGCCGCCGCCGUA